UUUUUGAGAUUUUAAUAAUUCCAUUGAACAUUGCAUAAUUUUUGUGCAGGGAGGAGGGUCGUUGAAUUCACUCAAAGACAUGCCUGGCGCGCUGGAGACUUCUUUGAGAAAUGUAUACGCUACUAAUAUAUAAGAUGCAAUCAUUUCUCUUUUCAUUUCGUCGAAGAUGUGGUCCGAAUUAUACAAAUAAUGUUCAAAUGUUGACAUAGGUUGAGGGUACCGUUCAGUAGUUCACUAUAAUUUAUUCUUUUUGUCAGAACGUUUGCACUAAUUGAGACAGGUUUGCUUACUUUAAUUUGUUUACUU
Molecule: long non-coding RNA, 306 nt
Filed under: Mytilus galloprovincialis (Mediterranean mussel)
Lineage: Eukaryota; Metazoa; Mollusca; Bivalvia; Mytilida; Mytilidae
Source: RNAcentral